UACGGGGGGGGCAAGCGUUGUUCGGAAUUACUGGGCGUAAAGGGCUCGUAGGCGGCCAACUAAGUCGGAUGUGAAAUCCCCGGGCUCAACCCGGGAACUGCGUCCGAUACUGGCAGGCUUGAAUCCGGGAGAGGGAUGCGGAAUUCCAGGUGUAGCGGUGAAAUGCGUAGAUAUCUGGAGGAACACCGGUGGCGAAGGCGGCAUCCUGGACCGGCAUUGACGCUGAGGCGCGAAAGCCAGGGGAGCAAACGGG
RNAcentral lists this ribosomal RNA (253 nucleotides) under uncultured bacterium. RNAcentral describes it as "partial 16S ribosomal RNA". It matches the Rfam family "Bacterial small subunit ribosomal RNA", at positions 524 to 776 of the family's 1533-position model. The record is from RNAcentral.